RNAcentral lists this small nuclear RNA (191 nucleotides) under Catagonus wagneri (Chacoan peccary). Its description in RNAcentral is "U2 spliceosomal RNA (ENSCWAG00000018468.1)". It matches the Rfam family "U2 spliceosomal RNA". Rfam says of the family: U2 is a small nuclear RNA (snRNA) component of the spliceosome (involved in pre-mRNA splicing). Complementary binding between U2 snRNA (in an area lying towards the 5' end but 3' to hairpin I) and the branchpoint sequence (BPS) of the intron results the bulging out of an unpaired adenosine, on the BPS, which initiates a nucleophilic attack at the intronic 5' splice site, thus starting the first of two transesterification reactions that mediate splicing. The record is from Rfam by way of RNAcentral. Lineage: Eukaryota; Metazoa; Chordata; Mammalia; Artiodactyla; Tayassuidae.
AUCACUUUUUCGCCUUUUGGAUAAGGUCACGUGGUGUAUCUCUUCUUAUCAGUUUAAUAUCUGAUAUGUCCUCUAUCUGAGGACAAUAUUUUAAACAGAUUUUUGGAAUGAGGAAAUGGAACAGAAGAUUGCUCUAUCCACUCCAUGCACUGAGCUGGUAUUGCAGUACUUUCAGGAACAGUGCUCCCCCU